This is a long non-coding RNA of Wasmannia auropunctata (little fire ant), 609 nucleotides long. RefSeq lists it as uncharacterized. The transcript is spliced from 3 exons. The record is from RefSeq and is a predicted model, not a curated record. Lineage: Eukaryota; Metazoa; Arthropoda; Insecta; Hymenoptera; Formicidae.
CUUCCGAUCUACUAUUGAAGAUUUAGAACAGCUGCUUGAACAAUUUUUAAAUCAGCCGAAUAAUUUUGAAACAUCGGUUAAAGAAGUAUCCCGAGUUGGGGGGAAAAAUCCUUACGAUUUUAUAAAACGCAACUGUACUCGUUUACUGACUAACAAACUAGCAGAAGAAUAUAGUUGGCUCGGGGCAAAACAAAAACGAAAAUUUUGUCAUUUAAAACUUGCUGACUUGCUAAUUGUUUCAGGUCAGGAGAGUAAUGAUACAUAUACUAAAAAGGUGUUAGAAGAAGCAGUUCAGAAAUGGCUGCGUAGAGCCAAGGAAAGAUCAGAUGCUGAGUUGAAGAAGAUGUAAGAUAAACAAGAAAUUAAACAAUUACAUAUUCUAUUAUGUUUUCCUAUUAAAGAUAAUGUUUCUUUAUUAUAAAGAUCAAAUUAUAUCAAUAUACACGUAUAUUUGUAAUGUGAUUAUAUGUGAUAUUAUAAUAUAAUCUAUGUUCAAAGUUUUCAUUUAAGUUUAUCAAAACGUUUAUUAUUUGUGAUACUAAUAUAAUUGUAAUAAUAUAAGUUUUGUUCAAAUAUUUAACGUUUAUCAAUGUAACUUACGAUAUAAUA